CCCUUAGAUGUCCUGGGCCGCACGCGUGCUACACUGACGCCUACAGCGAGUACUUCCCAGCCCCGAGAGGUGGCUGGUAAUCAGCAAUAGGCGUCGUGAUGGGGAUAGAUCUUUGGAAUUAUGGAUCUUGAACGAGGAAUGCCUAGUAAGCGCAGGUCAUUAGCCUGCGCUGAUUAAGUCCCUGCCCUUUGUACACACCGCCCGUCGCUCCUACCGAUUUCGAGUGGUCCGGUGAAUCUUUCGGACUGCGCGCGGCCUCGUGCCGUGUCGCGGAAAGUCAGGUAAACCUUAUCACUUAGAGGAAGGAGAANUCGUANCA
This 319-nucleotide ribosomal RNA is filed under the name uncultured eukaryote. RNAcentral describes it as "partial 18S ribosomal RNA". It matches the Rfam family "Eukaryotic small subunit ribosomal RNA", at positions 1470 to 1796 of the family's 1831-position model. The record is from RNAcentral.